This is a non-coding RNA of Vigna angularis (adzuki bean), 295 nucleotides long. It matches the Rfam family "Plant signal recognition particle RNA". Lineage: Eukaryota; Viridiplantae; Streptophyta; Magnoliopsida; Fabales; Fabaceae. The record is from Rfam.
GCCGAGUUGGGUAGCGUCAACUUGUGACUCAAGUGAGGGCAUUACGGUGGUGGGAUAAUACUGUGGCUUCUCUGGGUUGGGCCGUGCAUGGUAAAAUGCUGUCCUGCCCGUUCCAAGUUGAGAGCUGACUCAUGGGUCCGAGCGAAGGCUUGGGUCUCUAGAGUCCUAAAGUGGAGGACACAGCGUGAGGCUGGUUUCACAGAGCAGCAAAAACCUCCCUCUCCUGACAGUGGAGGGAUAACAGGCCGCUGCAAUCAUAGUCCAGUAUGCCCAGUUUACCUAGACCGCCAUCAUU